Oryza nivara is the source of this 207-nucleotide non-coding RNA. Lineage: Eukaryota; Viridiplantae; Streptophyta; Magnoliopsida; Poales; Poaceae. The record is from Rfam.
AAUAAGUGCAGUUUUACACUAUUCACGUUUAACGUUUGACCGUUCGUCUUAUUUGAAUUUUUUUUAUAAUUAGUAUUUUUAUUGCUAUUAGAUAAUAAACAUGAAUAAUACUUUAUGUGUGACUAAAUAUUUUCAAUUUUUUCAUAAAUUUUUCAAAUAAGACGGACGAUUAAACAUUGGGCACGGAUAUCCAUGACUGCACUUAUU